AGGAUAAACGCUGGCGGCGUGCUUAACACAUGCAAGUCGGACGGAGUGGUCUCCCGAAGACCUGACGAGCUUGCUCUGAUGGAAUUCAUUUGAAUCACUUAGUGGCGGACGGGUGAGUAACGCGUGGGGUAACCUGCCUCACACUGGGGGAUAGCAGUUGGAAACGACUGAUAAUACCGCAUAAGCGCACAGUACCGCAUGGUACAGUGUGAAAAAACUCCGGUGGUGUGAGAUGGACCCGCGUCUGAUUAGCUAGUUGGUGAGGUAACGGCCCACCAAGGCGACGAUCAGUAGCCGGCCUGAGAGGGUGUACGGCCACAUUGGGACUGAGACACGGCCCAAACUCCUACGGGAGGCAGCAGUGGGGAAUAUUGGACAAUGGGGGCAACCCUGAUCCAGCCGACGCCGCGUGAGCGAAGAAGUAUUUCGGUAUGUAAAGCUCUAUCAGCAGGGAAGAUAAUGACGGUACCUGACUAAGAAGCACCGGCUAAAUACGUGCCAGCCGCCGC
RNAcentral lists this ribosomal RNA (509 nucleotides) under uncultured bacterium. Its description in RNAcentral is "bacterial SSU rRNA". It matches the Rfam family "Bacterial small subunit ribosomal RNA", at positions 26 to 518 of the family's 1533-position model. The record is from RNAcentral.